Long non-coding RNA from Cebus imitator (Panamanian white-faced capuchin), 271 nucleotides. RefSeq lists it as uncharacterized. NCBI's taxonomy places the organism in Eukaryota, Metazoa, Chordata, Mammalia, Primates, Cebidae. The record is from RefSeq and is a predicted model, not a curated record. The transcript is spliced from 3 exons.
CUCACCAGGAGGACCCACCGGCUCAUCCCUAUCCACAGCUUCAGGCAGAGCUAUGAGGCCAAGAGUGCUCACGCACACCCGACUUUCUUUUUGGAAUUCAAGGAGCUGAAGGAGGUGGGCAAGGAGCAGCCCAGGUUGGGGACUGAGCACCCUCCCAACACCACCAAGAACCAUUACCCACAUGUGCUACCCUAUGACACCUCCAGGGACAGGCUGACCUAGCUGGAGGGAGAGCCCCACUCUGACUACAUCAAUACCAACUUUAUUCCAG